ACAGUUCACACUUUCCCUUGGAACGCAUUUAUCUAUUACAUGCCUCAGAUCUUCAAGGGCUGACCAACAAUCUAUGGGAAUCUAUCCAUUUAAUAUUUCUGUUCAGUAUUACACAACUUCUUGUAUGGAUCUGGCCCAUACAGUAAGCUGUGCUACUUUGUAUUUUGCAUACGAAUAAAAAUCACGAAGAAUUACAUAUCACAGCUUAAAUAUCAAAGAUGACUGUCAAAUAAUUCAAACAGAAGGCUCUUUAUUAAAGUCACUUUACUGAAAAAUGUUGUAUUGGAAACCAAACAACAUGAAGGAGAAUACUGAAUCAAAGCAAAGAGUCUUGCACAUCUGCACAAGUGCUUCAGUACACAGCUGGAUAACUCCCAACUUUGGUGAAUUUGAAUUUGUUUCUCCACAAAAUGGAAACAUACUUAUCUGCCAUAUCUCACAGAGGAAGAAUGUAUAAAGAUUUCUUCCAAGGAAUUUCAUCAAAAGACACCAAGUGAUGGGAGUGCUACAUACAACUACAUGCUGCUUCUUCUUGUUGCAAGAAGUUUAAAAGGAGGAAGAAUGACAGCCACUCUUUACUGGAGACCUGAAAGCGUUUUUCGUGACACUUGUAUUGCAUAAAAACACAAUUAUCAAAUGUCACCAGCAAUAAUAAAGCUUUGCUAAGGAUGUGGAUAUUCACCACCUUAUCACAAAUCAAAGAACAAUCAUCAAAGGAAGAGACACAUUCUUAUGCAUAACAGUAACCUUAUUUUAUGGCGCAUCAUUUGUAUAGCUAUUUAAUUUUAACAGCUGGUGAACAAAUGACUUUACUAUAAUGUUGAAUUUCGUUCACUAGCUGUAUAUAUUUUUCCAUAGAGUACUGAUCCAAAGUCAAAUCAAAGUCAGUCAGCAUCAGCAUACAAAUUAGUAUUCCUUUCUGUGAUAAUCCAAGUUUUGACUGACCAUGCUCCUGCUGAUGCCAAUGGCUAGCCUGGGGUCUCAUUUGGUUGUAAAGACAAUGAACCAAAACCAUUAGAUGGCUAGAAAUUUGGCAGAAGCUGAAAUCCCAGAGCAGAGAACACUUCGGAAGUUAGAGCAACAUUCAUAUUUUUCUAAAAGUAUCCACAUGCAAUAUGAUAUCUUCAGUAUGUAAAACACAUCAGAGGAACAUGAGCUGCUUUUGUGGUGUGUAAUAAAUGUUGGAUGGAAGAAUGAAAACGCUCUCUAGUUUCCU
Long non-coding RNA from Haemorhous mexicanus (house finch), 1216 nucleotides. RefSeq lists it as uncharacterized. Lineage: Eukaryota; Metazoa; Chordata; Aves; Passeriformes; Fringillidae. The transcript is spliced from 3 exons. The record is from RefSeq and is a predicted model, not a curated record.